GACGAACGCUGGCGGCGUGCUUAACACAUGCAAGUCGAACGAAGUGGCGAACGGGUGAGUAACGCGUAAUCAACCUGCCCUUCAGAAGGGGACAACAGUUGGAACCGACUGCUAAUACCGCAUACUGAAGGAGGGGAUUGCGUCUGAUUGGCUAGUUGGAGGGGUAACGGCCCACCAAGGCGAUGAUCAGGAGCCGGUCGGAGAGGAGGAACGGCAACAUUGGGAAUGAGAAAAGGCCCAGAAUCCUACGGGAGGCAGCAGUGGGGAAUCUUCCGAAAUGGACGAAAGUCUGACGGAGCAACGCCGCGGGAGGGAUGACGGCCUUCGGGUUGUAAAGCUAUGUUAAUCGGGACGCGGUACCGGAAUAGAAAGCCACGGCUAACUACGUGCCAGCAGCCGCGGUAAUAC
Molecule: ribosomal RNA, 408 nt
Filed under: uncultured bacterium
Lineage: Bacteria
Description: partial 16S ribosomal RNA
Rfam family: Bacterial small subunit ribosomal RNA
Source: RNAcentral